AAAUCUCACGAUAGCUGCAAGCAUUGCCGGCGAGAGGUAAACUGGUUUGGGAAAAUAGUACUAUGUCUACAAACUAGAAGAUUACUAGAUCAUACCUGUCCAGUCCACAUCAUACCCUAUGUCUACUAAAGAUGAAAGUCGAGAAAGAGACGGAGAGAGGAAGAGAGAGAGAGAGAAAGACAGGAUUCCCAUGAAAGACAGGUGGUGGGGAACAAAGGAACAGAACUUAGAGGUCCAACAAUGGGAUAAAGGAGCUCAUUUUGUACCUAUUUUACCAACUCCUUUGUGGUUCUCCAAAUGCUUACAUUCAUCCUCAUUGCAAAGCAUCCAGAGACAUUUGCUCAUUUCUCUAUAAAAAGUAACAACCUUAGAGACUUAAGUCAAAGGAGGCAAUCUAGGAUUGUUAUGUCUCAUGACAAAGGUGGAUUAAUGUGUCGAAUUUGAAUAAAACAUUAUAACAAAGAAUUA
Molecule: long non-coding RNA, 468 nt
Organism: Protopterus annectens (West African lungfish)
Lineage: Eukaryota; Metazoa; Chordata; Ceratodontiformes; Protopteridae
Exons: 2
Source: RefSeq, a predicted model, not a curated record